UAGCCGUGAACAACAGAUCGAAUCCUGCU
Molecule: non-coding RNA, 29 nt
Filed under: Homo sapiens (human)
Lineage: Eukaryota; Metazoa; Chordata; Mammalia; Primates; Hominidae
Source: RNAcentral